This is a non-coding RNA of Glycine max (soybean), 120 nucleotides long. NCBI's taxonomy places the organism in Eukaryota, Viridiplantae, Streptophyta, Magnoliopsida, Fabales, Fabaceae. The record is from Rfam.
UUCUUAUUGGAUCAUACUUGUCACAUGUCAUGUUCUGAUUGGUCAAUGAAAACAACAAUGCAUUUCAUCUUUCAUAGAGUUGACAUCCAAUCAGAACAUGACACGUGACAGUCAUCAUUC